CUUCAUGCAGGCGAGUUGCAGCGGUAGAGAGAAGCUUGCUUCUCUUGAGAGCGGCGGACGGGUGAGUAACGCGUGAGAAUCUGGCUCCAGGUCGGGGAUAACAGUUGGAAACGACUGCUAAUACCGGAUGUGCCGAGAGGUGAAAGAUUUAUUGCCUGGAGAUGAGCUCGCGUCUGAUUAGCUAGUUGGUGGUGUAAGGGACCACCAAGGCGUCGAUCAGUAGCUGGUCUGAGAGGAUGAUCAGCCACACUGGGACUGAGACACGGCCCAGACUCCUACGGGAGGCAGCAGUGGGGAAUUUUCCGCAAUGGGCGAAAGCCUGACGGAGCAGUACCGCGUGAGGGAGGAAGGCUCUUGGGUCGUAAACCUCUUUUCUCAAGGAAGAAGAAAGUGACGGUACUUGAGGAAUAAGCAUCGGCUAACUCCGUGCCAGCGGCCGCGGUAAUACGGAGGAUGCAAGCGUUAUCCGGAAUGAUUGGGCGUAAAGGGUCUGCAGGUGGAACUGAAAGUCUGCUGUUAAAGAGUUUGGCUUAACCAAAUAAAAGCGGUGGAAACUACAGAACUAGAGUGUGGUAGGGGCAAAAGGAAUUCCUGGUGUAGCGGUGAAAUGCGUAGAUAUCAGGAAGAACACCGGUGGCGAAAGCGUUUUGCUAGACCGUAACUGACACUGAGGGACGAAAGCUAGGGGAGCGAAUGGGAUUAGAUACCCCAGUAGUCCUAGCCGUAAACGAUGGAUACUAGGCGUGGCUUGUAUCGACCCGAGCCGUGCCGGAGCUAACGCGUUAAGUAUCCCGCCUGGGGAGUACGCACGCAAGUGUGAAACUCAAAGGAAUUGACGGGGGCCCGCACAAGCGGUGGAGUAUGUGGUUUAAUUCGAUGCAACGCGAAGAACCUUACCAAGACUUGACAUCCUGCGAAUCCUGGUGAAAGCUGGGAGUGCCUUAGGGAGCGCAGAGACAGGUGGUGCAUGGCUGUCGUCAGCUCGUGUCGUGAGAUGUUGGGUUAAGUCCCGCAACGAGCGCAACCCUCGUUUUUAGUUGCCAGCAUUAAGUUGGGCACUCUAGAGAGACUGCCGGUGACAAACCGGAGGAAGGUGAGGAUGACGUCAAGUCAGCAUGCCCCUUACGUCUUGGGCUACACACGUACUACAAUGCUACGGACAGAGGGCAGCGAGCCAGGGAUGGCAAGCGAAUCCAGAAACCGUAGCUCAGUUCAGAUCGAAGGCUGCAACUCGCCUGCGUGAAG
Molecule: ribosomal RNA, 1245 nt
Filed under: Cylindrospermopsis raciborskii NRERC-502
Lineage: Bacteria; Bacillati; Cyanobacteriota; Cyanophyceae; Nostocales; Aphanizomenonaceae
Description: bacterial SSU rRNA
Rfam family: Bacterial small subunit ribosomal RNA
Source: RNAcentral